RNAcentral lists this ribosomal RNA (865 nucleotides) under Strobilomyces sp. RNAcentral's name for it is "LSU rRNA". It matches the Rfam family "Eukaryotic large subunit ribosomal RNA", at positions 71 to 929 of the family's 3401-position model. Lineage: Eukaryota; Fungi; Basidiomycota; Agaricomycetes; Boletales; Boletaceae. The record is from RNAcentral.
AGGAUUCCCCUAGUAACUGCGAGUGAAGCGGGAAGAGCUCAAAUUUCGAAUCGGCGGCCUCGCGGGUCGUCCGAGUUGUAAUCUAGAGAAGCGUCUUCCGCGCCGGCGCCGUGUACAAGUCUCCUGGAAGGGAGCGUCAUGGAGGGUGAGAACCCCGUCCCUGACACGGGCCGCCGGGGCUAUGUGAUGCGCUCUCGACGAGUCGAGUUGUUUGGGAAUGCAGCUCAAAACGGGUGGUAAACUCCAUCUAAAGCUAAAUACGUGCGAGAGACCGAUAGCGUACAAGUACCGUGAGGGAAAGACGAAAAGAACUUUGAAAAGAGAGUUAAACAGUACGUGAAAUCGCUGGAAGGGAAACGCUCGAGGCCAGUCGCGUCGACCCGGGGGGUCAACCUCACGUUCGCCGUGGGGCGUACUUCCCCGUCGACGGGUCAGCGUCGGUCUCGGUCGUCGUACAAGGGUCGGAGGAAGGUGGCGCUCCUCGGAGCGUGUUACAGCCUCCGGUCGCAUGCGACGGUCGGGACCGAGGAGAGCUCGGCGCGCGCGAGCGUGCCAGAGGAUGCUGGCGUAAUGGCCCCGAGCGACCCGUCUUGAAACACGGACCAAGGAGUCUAACGUGCGUGCGAGUGUUCGGGUGGCAAACCCGCGCGCGAAAUGAAAGUGAAAGGUCGAGACCUCCGUCGUGGAGGGCACCGACGCCCGGCCCGGCGUCUCUGACAGAGGGCCCGAGGUGGAGCACGCACGUUGGGACCCGAAAGAUGGUGAACUAUGCCUGAAGAGGGCGAAGCCAGAGGAAACUCUGGUGGAGGCUCGUAGCGAUUCUGACGUGCAAAUCGAUCGUCGAAUUUGGGCAUAGGGGCGAAAG